AAAAUAUUAAUGGACACUAUAAGAAUGUCAAGUUUAUGUGCGCUGAUGUGACAUCCCCGGAUCUGAAUUUUUCAGAGGGAUCGGUGGAUUUGAUAUUCUCAAAUUGGCUUCUCAUGUAUCUUUCCGACAAGGAGGCUUCUUGGAAUCAGUGGUCAGUGCUUUGAUGAUCUUAUUGGAGUCUGCCACAUACAUUUGAUGAAAGCUUGGUAUGAUUAUGACUGUUGUUGCAUCAAUCUUUAAGUGAAAUGCCCAUAAAUAUCAUGUGAUUUU
Molecule: long non-coding RNA, 270 nt
Organism: Populus nigra (black poplar)
Lineage: Eukaryota; Viridiplantae; Streptophyta; Magnoliopsida; Malpighiales; Salicaceae
Exons: 2
Source: RefSeq, a predicted model, not a curated record